Molecule: long non-coding RNA, 197 nt
Organism: Perognathus longimembris pacificus (Pacific pocket mouse)
Lineage: Eukaryota; Metazoa; Chordata; Mammalia; Rodentia; Heteromyidae
Exons: 4
Source: RefSeq, a predicted model, not a curated record
UUAAAAUAAGUAAAAUAUGCAUACGGAAAAGAUCACAGUGACUGGUCAUCAUUACAGGUACCUUAAGGUAGCAGCUAAUUAAAGAAUAAAUAUUUCUAGAGGAAUGAGUAGAAAUAACCAUGGGAAUACAAAGGAUGGUAAGACAGCACAAUACAAUCAUAUGUUCAUAUAGGAAGCAUGGUUUCACAGCUAUGCAA